UAACGGCGAGUGAAGCGGCAACAGCUCAAAUUUGAAAUCUGGCUUCCUUUGGGAGUCCGAGUUGUAAUUUGCAGAGGAUGUUUCGGGUACCGCUCCGGUUUAAAUUUCUUGGAACAGAAUGUCAGAGAGGGUGAGAAUCCCGUCUUGGACCGGCGGUAGGGCCCAUGUGAAACUCCCUCGACGAGUCGAGUUGUUUGGGAAUGCAGCUCAAAAUGGGUGGUAAAUUUCAUCUAAAGCUAAAUAUUGGCCAGAGACCGAUAGCGCACAAGUAGAGUGAUCGAAAGAUGAAAAGCACUUUGAAAAGAGAGUUAAACAGUAUGUGAAAUUGUUGAAAGGGAAGCGCUUGCGACCAGACUUGUACGCGGCGGUUCCCCCGUCCUUUUGGGCGGGCUAUUCCGUCGUGUUCAGGCCAACAUCGGUUCUGGGGGUUGGUUAAAGGCUUAGGGAAUGUAUCUACCCUUCGGGCGUAGACUUAUAGCCCUAGGUGUCAUACAACCUCCCGGGACCGAGGAACGCGCUUCGGCUCGGAUGUUGGCGUAAUGGUCGUAAGCGACCCGUCUUGAAACACGGACCAAGGAGUCUAACAUUUAUGCGAGUGUUUGGGUGUUAAACCCGGAACGCGGAAUGAAAGUGAACGGAGGUAGGAAGCUUUUAGCUGCACUAUCGACCGAUCCUGAUGUCUUCGGAUGGAUUUGAGUAAGAGCAUAACUGUUGGGACCCGAAAGAUGGUGAACUAUGCCUGAAUAGGGUGAAGCCAGAGGAAACUCUGGUGGAGGCUCGCAGCGGUUCUGACGUGCAAAU
This 801-nucleotide ribosomal RNA is filed under the name Rhinocladiella quercus. Its description in RNAcentral is "eukaryotic LSU rRNA". It matches the Rfam family "Eukaryotic large subunit ribosomal RNA", at positions 84 to 898 of the family's 3401-position model. The record is from RNAcentral. Lineage: Eukaryota; Fungi; Ascomycota; Eurotiomycetes; Chaetothyriales; Herpotrichiellaceae.